RNAcentral lists this ribosomal RNA (439 nucleotides) under uncultured bacterium. RNAcentral describes it as "partial 16S ribosomal RNA". It matches the Rfam family "Bacterial small subunit ribosomal RNA", at positions 339 to 795 of the family's 1533-position model. The record is from RNAcentral.
CUACGGGACGCUGCAGUGGGGAAUAUUGCACAAUGGAGGAAACUCUGAUGCAGCAACGCCGCGUGGAGGAUGACACUUUUCGGAGCGUAAACUCCUUUUAUAUAGGAAGAAGAUGACGGUACUAUAUGAAUAAGCGCCGGCUAACUCCGUGCCAGCAGCCGCGGUAAUACGGAGGGCGCAAGCGUUACUCGGAAUCACUGGGCGUAAAGAGCGUGUAGGCGGAUUAAAAAGUCAGAAGUGAAAUCCUAUAGCUUAACUAUAGAACUGCUUCUGAAACUCUUAAUCUAGAAUAUGGGUGAGGUAGAUGGAAUUCCUGGUGUAGGGGUAAAAUCCGUAGAGAUCAGAAGGAAUACCGAUUGCGAAGGCGAUCUACUAGAACAUUAUUGACGCUGAGACGCGAAAGCGUGGGGAGCAAACAGGAUUAGAUACCCGCGUAGUC